Long non-coding RNA from Pantherophis guttatus, 6548 nucleotides. RefSeq lists it as uncharacterized. The record is from RefSeq and is a predicted model, not a curated record. Lineage: Eukaryota; Metazoa; Chordata; Lepidosauria; Squamata; Colubridae.
UAUACAGUAGUGAAUACUAUUGUACCACUGUAUAGUAGGUAGCAUCAUCAGUGCUGUUUGCUGUCGGUUUAUUUCAAAGGGGAUUUGUUUGCAGAUCCAGAUUGGUUGCAUAGAAAUGAAAAAAAACAAAAAACAGAUGAUUCCCAUUAGGCAGAAACGCGGUUCAUCUCAUCAAGCGGGAGAUUAUUUUCUAUGGAGUUACAAGAGGAGAAAUCGCUACGCAGGACGGAAAGGCGAUAGCAUCGGGGAGUUGCGACGGGUAGAAUGCCUUUGAAAAUGGAGGUUCUGAUCAUCUAACGCAGCGAUUCCCCCCCCAGAGACUGCCUGGGUAACGUGUUUUGCAAUAUAAGUGACCACCUGCAUGCUUCCAGCUGGGUUGGAAAGCAAUAGAUAAUCUGCGAGCUACACAAUCGCAUCCCGUUGCUCAGAUCCACCACCUUUUGUUUGGCUCCCUCCCUGAACCAGUCACCCAGCCCCAUUGUUGCACAGCAGAGCGGAUCAUUUGCAGCCAGCCGAGGACGGCAUCCUGCUUAAUUGCACAGGGAAGGUUUGGAAACAGCUGAGAUGGGAGGGCACCUCCGGUUUUCCAAACACGGGAUCUGAAGGAGAAGAUCUUUGGAUGUAAGUCGCCAAAGUUCAGGAGCAAGCAAAGGAAGAUCCCACUGCAGAGACAAUGGAAACUGAGUGAAGGCAAAGCAUAGUCUCUGGCUUCUUGUGAUCUCAAAAUCCAUCCCCCAGCCCUCCUGCCACGGACACCUGAAGGCCGCAAGCUCCACAGCUCUUUGGAGGUAUCUGUACCAAGAGACAUGUCUGGAAAGAAGAAGCUCACAAGGCUGGUAGCUGAAAUUCUUCAAGAACUCCAAAGAGCUUUGGCUUAUUUCUUAAUUGUUUACACUUUACUGUUAGGAGGCUUCAUUUGUGCCGGUCUGAUAUACCAGAUCUUAGCCUCUGAGUAAGGGCCGAGCCCAAAGUAUGCUUAAUGGAGAUGGCAAUGAAUUAAUGGAGAAAGUGCACAGCCUUCUUUCCCCGUUCGUAAUGAAAACAAGCACAUCUGUAACUUGGGACGUUUCCAGAUGAAAGUCCAGGUCCCUAAUGAUUGCCUGACACCGCAGCUGGACAAUUGCCAUUCCGAUGUUUCCCAGCACAUCCCUGUGACUGUUAUCGCCUCUCCUCCAACGAGAGAAGCCUGCUUAGGUGUGGUAAUGUUUUGCUGCCAGGAGUUCCAGUGGACAUUCUGUGCUGUUAAGAAGGUGGGGUGGGGAGAGAGUUUCACAUAUCCUGCCUCUUGCACUUAGCCUCACGGUGACGUUUAAAGGCCGUGAUGCUUUGCCACCACGGCCAGCAAAAAUGUUAGGGAUUCACCAUGAUUUAUUUUGUUUAACGGGAGAAAGCAACAAUGAGUGAUGGGAGGCUUUGGUUCCUGGGUAGUAGGUAAGGCCUGCCAUUCUCUGGGCUCAACUGACAGGGAGAGAGCUCCUUUGCUGCCUGUCAAUUCUCUGUGAGAGCUUCAGGCUGACAAGUCAUUCCAUUCAGGUCCAUCCUGACCAUUUUCAGGUGGAAUUGGAGGGGGUGGUGGGGGGGCAGAAACGGGGACCUUUUGGACAUUCCUAGAGAGGCCAUGAAUGAAAUGACAAAACGGAGCUAAAUUAUAACAUCAAUUUACUCAACUGUUGUUCUGUUUCAGAACAUUAGGGAGGUUUUAAGGCCAGGAUAUGCCCUGGACUUCCAAAUUGAUGCCACCCCAGGGAGGCCUUUCUCUCUGAUAACCAACCAUUUGAUUUCUAAUGACAAGGAAAUCCAUCACAAAACUUGACUAAAGGUCUAUAUAACCUAUAACCAUGAUGGUGAACCUAUGGCAUGCGUGCCACCUGUGGCACGUGGAGCCAUAUCGGUAGGCACAUGGCUCAGUUCCGGCGCAUACCCGGAAGUAGGGAAAUAGUCUGUUUCCUGCCUCCGGAGGGCCUGUGGGGGUGGGGAAGGCACAUUUUUUGCUCUCCCUAGGCUCCUAGAGAGGCUCUGGAGCCUGGGGAGAGCAAAAAACGGGCCUACUGGGCCCACUGUGCCAUUGCGUGCCAAAAGUGGGGGAAGCGCGGGGGGUCGCGCAUGCAUACGUUGAGGGUGGGACACAUAGAAUUAUGGGUGUGGGCAUGCAUGCACACGACCCCCCCCCACGCUCCCCCACUUUUGGCACGCAAUAGUAAAAAGGUUAGCCAUCACUGACCUAUAAUAACCUGGCUAGUUGGCUCAGUGGCUAAGACGCUGAGCUUGUCAAUCAGAAAGGUCGGCAGUUCGGUGGUUCGAAUCCCUAGUAUAGGUCUCCUGCGUGAGCAGGGGGUUGGACUAGAUGACCUCCAAGGUCCCAACUCUGUUACUGUUACUGUCUUGCCUCUGGGGAAAGGUUAUAUGAGAUAAUCUCGUUCCCUUUGCCAUCUCCUUUUUACUAAAAGUCACAUGGUACUGUUUAGAACAGUGUUUCUCAAUGUUGACAGCUUGAAGACGUGUGGAUAGCCAGCAUGGGGAAUUUGGGGAGUUGAAGUCCACACAUCUACCAGCUACCAAGGUUGAGAAACACUGAUUUAAUAUCAUUAGCUAAUUGGCAAGGUUCUUUUGAUUGAUUGAUGGAUUGGAUUGGAUUGGACAUUAUUUGCUGCUUAAGUCCAAUAGAUUCUGAGUAGAUCAUGAAGUUUUACUAGCGUACACAAUAUUUGCAAUACUGCACCCAUAACUUUCCAUGGCUGUUUGUAACAAGUUGACCCUUUGUUUUUUUUAAUUAAUGGGCAGCCUUUCUGGAAAAGUGAAAUUGACCAGGUGUGUCUAUGGAGAUGCAUGUCAAAAAAAAGGUCACGAUGGUAGCACAACCGUGUGAUGGAAGCCUCGCCUCAUUUUAAUAUACAGCCAACUCGAGUUGAGUGCACUUCAGUUGAGAACUGGGCAAAAACCUCUUAGCAGGAAUGUACUUUCGAUAGCUACUCUAAAAUUGUUGAUGCCAGUGAAUUCUAUAUGACUUGUGUCAUAAAUUCUUUGGGCCAGAGCUCUCUCUCUAACUUAUUUCUUGCCUGAGCUCACACAAAUACAUAUCUACAUAUCUGAAAACACCAAGAAGUUAUUCCCCCUAGGUAAGGGGUCAGCAACCUGUGGCUCUGGAGCCGCAUGUGGCUCUUUCACCCCUCUGCUGUGGCUCCCUGUCACUCAAAAUAUGCGUCACAACCACCAAUGUGCGACACCCGCCGGCACGCGAUUUAUUGAGCUUUUCAAUCCCCGGUAGGCCAACCAUGGAUAAAUCCAAGAAAAGAAAAGUUUCAGAAGAAAACAGAACAUUUAAUUCAACUACAUAUGCUAGUUUUGUGGCUGCUCAAGAAAUAGUCAGGCACAGGAAGGGUUUUGUGGUUCCCGAUGUUUUCUUUUCUGUGGGAAACAGGUCUCUUUGAGUGUUUAAGGUUGCAGACCUCUGCCCUAGGUCAAGGGCUCAUGGCCAAGAUUAGUGCUAUCCACCAGUCCUUGAGCCAGUUGAAAAAUAUGUUGGCAUACAUUUUGCUUGUGGUCGAUCUAUAAGGAGUUCAGCAAACUAAGCUGCCUUUUAUUACUGCUGCCAAGUUAAGGAAGGGAUUAUGUCCGCCCCAUUAGGUAAAACUACUUUAUUGAGAUUGGCUAUAAUAGCAGAUUCUUGCAAGUCUGUGUCUUCUCCCCCUUUUUAUACUCCCCCAGUGAUUUAGGGAGGUGUCUGCCUGAGCCACUUCCAAAUGUUAUCUCUUUCUGGAUUUAAAAAAAAUAUUCUAUCCCCUUUUUCCUCAGUAAUUGUUUCUGCAUAUUUUUUGCAAAGGUCAUCUUCCUUACUCUCUAUAAUUGAUAAAUGUCCCCCAGUUUCAUUUCCCACUCGGCUUGAUUUGCCUGCUGAAAAACAACUACGAAUCACUCUUCUAAUAUGGGAAAGGGUGACUUUAACAGACGUUUGGAAUAGCCGAUUUAGUCACCUGCUAAAUUCUGAUUCACCAGUGACAGAACUAAGAGGGGGAUACCGAGUGAAGUAGAAGGAACUCUCCUUAUGCCCUGCUCUUUCAUCUCCUCCUCUAUACCUAACACUGACCAUCAGGUUAUAUCAAGAAACUGGUUUAGCCUUCCACUAAACCCAUGUUCAAAAUAAUUUUGGCUGACAAUAGAGGUUGCAGGCCAGAGCAGGAGGAAGUGAUUGAUAAUGAGCGAGUUCCACCUUGUUUAGUUCAGAAAAAGGAUACCGUGUUUCCCCGAAAAUAAGACAUGUCCGGCAGGGAUGAAAUCCCAAAUUUUUCCCUACCGGUUCUGUGGGUGUGGUUUGGUGGGCGUGGCAGGGGAAGGAUAUUGCAAAAUCUCCAUUCCCUCCCCACUCCAGGGGAAGGAUACUGUAAAAUCUCCAUUCCCUCCCCUCCUGGGGGAAGGAUAUUGCAAAAUCUCCAUUCCCACCCCACUCUGGGGCCACCCAGAGGUGGUAUUUGCCGGUUCUCCAAACUAGUCAAAAUUUCCGCUACCGGUUCUCCGAACUGCUUAAAAUUUCCGCUACCAGUUCUCCAGAACCUGUUAGAACCUGCUGGAUUUCACCCCUGAUGUCUGGAUAAUAAGCCCAAUUGACCUUUUGAGUGCACGUGCUAUAAUAAGCCCCCCCCCCGAAAAUAAGCCCCCCCAAAUACUUAGACGCAUGCGUAGUUGCGUCAGCGCAUGCGUCUAAGUAUUGCUCAGCACGAGGUGAGGUGAGCAGUGAAGCGUGCCAGAGCAUUUUCACAGCACUGAAGGAUGACUUCAAGCUGCCUUAUUUACGGGGUGUGUGUGAGACUGAUUUCUGCACUAGUGGCUAGGAGCAUUACCCAGCCGUCAUAUGAAGCGAUAUGAUUAUUGUUAUUUUUCUGAAAAGACAGAUAGAUGGCUAUAGAUCAGUGCCUGCAGUAUGCUGACUGGGAAAGUCUGGGAGUGGAAGUCCACACAUCUUAAAGUUGCCAAGGUUGAGGAACACUGCUCUGGAAGGAGCUAUAAAUUGCUAGGGCAGCAAUGUUAGGUAGAUAUGGAGGAAAAAAGUUGCUAAGAAGUGUUUGUGCUAUGCUUAGAGCCCAAAGACACUCUUAUUCAAGCUCCUCUCCCAGUAAAUACAUGGAUGGAACCCGUUCAAAAGCUCAUCAAGUGUGAUGCCCUUUAACUUUUUGAAAUCAGAAAAAGUUUGCUAGAAGCUGGUACCCUUGGUGACUUUAUGCCCUUAGGAAUCAGUAAAAAUCUAUAUUCACGGUCUGAUUUCAUAUGUUGCUUCCCCCCCCCGAAACAAACUAACUUGCAGACACUUCCCAUACAAGAUGUCAUACUGAGCAGCUGUUCAUUAUAGAUUAAAGCAAAAAAGCAAGGUCAAAUUAUUUCUCAGACCUGAUUGUACUUACAAAAUAUCUCCAGUUCAAAAUACAUUCAAGUCACGCAGUUGUAGAAAAGAGAGAAAUACGGUCUUAGAGAUCCCUAAUAUGCAAUAGAAAUGCUCCAGAUACAUAAACCCUUAAUAUUUAUGUCUGAUUUAAAUUCCUUUCACUACAGAAUCACAGAGGUGCUGAAACCUGUUUAUAUACGGUAAUUUUCAGCAAAUUCUCCAACUGUAUCUGUUAUCCACCAUAUUUUCCAAUCACUGUGCUUAUUGAGCAGCAUUAGCAAAAAUUGCCAGAAGUCAUUUUAUGAUGUUAUUGAAUCGUUUUAGGGCCUUGCCUUCAGGUCAUGGUUAUUAAAAAAUAAUACCAGAUGGAUAGUGCCUUAUCCAUAAUGACUAUGAAGCUCUUUUUAGGAUUUUCCCUGUUUUGUUUGGUAUGGGAACCAGUCUAACUCUUUUGUAUUUGAUAAAUUGGACCUAGUUAGAACUUAGGUAAGAGAUGACUAGGAAAUGACUAAACAAUUUUUUUUAAAAAAAGGAAGAAAAAUUUUGUUGUCAAGAAAACAAUGUAGCCUUGUCCAGGUGGCCAUCGGCUCAAUGUUAAUGUGACUUUAUCCACAAUAUGCUUAUUAUUAAUGCUCUGCAAAAGCAUUAUGUUCAAAAAAAUAAGUUAUGAAAAGGCAAAUGGUAAAUAGAUAUUGAAUGCCCAAACUCCACCUCCUGAUUUCCCCUAACUUUAUCCAAAUCAUGGAUAACUCUGGUCACCAAAGGUCAGGAGCUACGCUUCCUUCUUAAUAUCUGUCUGCUGUUUUUUGUUUCCCCUGCCACCACCACAAUUUGAACAAACUGGAGAGAAGGGCUUCUCUCUAUUUAUUUAUCUAUCAACAUGGUGACUAGAAAAGGUUUUCUUGAAUGAGUUUUAAAGAUCUAUAAUAAUUGGAAGAUACUAGAUGGCAACGUAUCAAUUGUUUGGAUCGAGGUUUGGGAGGAAAAAAACCCUCAUUGUGUACAAAAUCACCAGCUAAAGGUUAGAAAUGUAAGUUGAAGUGAAAGGGGUCUUGAAUAUCUCUAAAAAUACACUGUGUCCCCUUGAGGGAACUGAUGCUGUUUUAAAGACCAGAACUGUCUACCUACGUGCCGUGUUAUGUACAUUUAUAAAUAAAGUGCUAAUACAAAGUUA